UGUUUUGUUGAUAUUAUCUAUAU
RNAcentral lists this small nuclear RNA (23 nucleotides) under Arabidopsis thaliana (thale cress). RNAcentral describes it as "snRNA_14886". The record is from RNAcentral. Lineage: Eukaryota; Viridiplantae; Streptophyta; Magnoliopsida; Brassicales; Brassicaceae.